This is a long non-coding RNA of Trifolium pratense (red clover), 2096 nucleotides long. RefSeq lists it as uncharacterized. The transcript is spliced from 4 exons. NCBI's taxonomy places the organism in Eukaryota, Viridiplantae, Streptophyta, Magnoliopsida, Fabales, Fabaceae. The record is from RefSeq and is a predicted model, not a curated record.
UUUCAAAACCACUUCCCAGCAAAGGUUGAACUCAAACCCUAGAAACGAAAUCAAUCUUCUUCUAGCUUCUUCAAACAAUUCCCAGCAAACAUUGAACUCAAACCCUAGAAUUGAAAUCGAUCAUCUUCUAGCUUCAAACCCAAAGGAAUCGAACUUAGAGAAAUCGUUCCUCUGUAAUCAAACUCACGGCAAACGGAACUCGAAGUUAGAGAAAUCGUUCCUCUUCUCCAAUUACAAUUGUUUCGUGCAGUAGAUAUCCUUCUCACAUUAUUGUCAAUCCUAGCUAAUAUCCAAGAACCCAGAAACCACUGUGAACCCUAACCCAUAACCCAUAAAUCUCUUCUCUCCAAGAACCUUAAUCCAAUUACCCACUACUUUCACUGUCAGAAGUUGUACUCGUUCGUCACCGUUCAUCGCUGUCCGUCGCCAUGCUCUCACAACUCAAACUGUCGUCAUUAAGAUGAUAUAGGGCAAGAAUGGACUUUUGUGCAGGCUAAAUCCGAAAAUGUGCAGAAUGUGUGUGACAUAGUCAAGAAACAAUUGUCCCUGCUAGAAUAUUCAAAUGUUAUCGGAGAGUCUAAAUUUACUACACUUGUGAAGUUAGUUAUCUACUGGUAUUUCAUUAUCUCAUUUUUCUAAUGUUCUGAAGAUUAUUAUCUCCUUUAAAAUGAACUAAAAUCUAGUUAUUAUUAUGAAAAAAGGGAAUAGUCUCCUAUAUAUAUUUGACAACAGUGAAGUUACUUAUCUCUUGAUAAAUUCAUGUGCUUGCAGUACCCUUUAUUUUUUUAAAUUCUUCUACUUUAAGUAUGUUCUUAUAUUCAGUAUUACCUUAUUAUCAGAUAUUUUAAGGGUUUCUGGAAAGAAUGGAUUGAUGCAAAACCAAGGGCAUAGUGACUAUGACAGAGUGCAGUUUGGAAGUUUGAAGCCUAAUCUUAUGUCUUCUUUAGACACUACAAAAAAAAAAUUACUGGCCGGAACAAAUUGUCACAUGAAGUCUUUUAAUUCUGUUCUACAAUUCUAUAUAAUGAUCAUUGUUCUCCACUGCUCGUUCUAAUGAAGCAACGACAUAAACACAGGACAUGAUGCUAACAAAUAGAAUCACAGAUACCAUAUUAGUAACAAUUUGAGAAAACAAAAGUGAUUGAAUGUAACUAUAUAUGUCGGUGUCAAACAGCGACAUGUCAUACACUAGACAUGCCUUUAAUAAAAAGUGUACAUGCUACAUUACAUAAUGUAUAAACCAUUGUAAAAAGACACAAAAUAACAUUUGAUCCGUUUACCUACACUUUUUGUACAGUUUUUGAAACAAAUAUGCUAUAACAUGUUUCUUUUCAUUCAUGUACUAAUAUUCCCAUUCCAUUUCUUUUAUAUUCUAAGAGGUUAAGUCCAAUCUUACAUAAGGGGUUUGUUGAAGCACAGGGACUAAAUGUGUAUUGGCUAAUCUUUUAGCUACUUGAUAUUUGAACUAGACAUACACGUGUCUUGAUGAUCCUGUUAUUUUUGUUUCUCUUUCUCUCAUUUUAAGUUGGAGCUAGAACUUAUUUCUCUCUAUAUGACAUACAUUUCUUGAACUUGGAGAAUCGUUCAUUAUGUUUGAUGCAACAGCUGCACUGGAUGCAUUCAAAACUGUAAGGGGCUAAAAACUUACCAUUUCCUGGUCUUUUAUGGCUCAUACUCUUUUAAGAAAGGAGGUCAGGAAGUCCCAAUUGAAUUACUCAAUAAUAUUGGUGUCCUUGAGUCUUAAUAGCAAGAAUUUGAGUACAGAUGUUCGGUAUUCUCCCUGAGCUAUUUGCGUUAUGUGCUUGAAGUUAGCUUGCUGUCACGCUUGGAACUGUGGACUGAUGCUUCUGUAGUGUUUCUUGUUCCCUGCUCUUUUGUAGUCUAUUGAUAUACAUCAUAGGUUUGGUAGGUGUUUGUGGAAUGUUGGUUUGUUUAUUCGAGUUACACUACUAGACAUGUGUUAUUGGGGUGCUUUUUCUAAUUUUGGGGUAGAUUGUUAAUUAGUGGGGGGCCAAGUAGUGUUCUCGAUAUGUUGGUUGUGUUCUCAGAUUUGUCUUGUACUUGGAUCAAUUUUGUUUAUGAAAUGAAUUAAUGUA